Molecule: long non-coding RNA, 898 nt
Organism: Mirounga angustirostris (Northern elephant seal)
Lineage: Eukaryota; Metazoa; Chordata; Mammalia; Carnivora; Phocidae
Exons: 5
Source: RefSeq, a predicted model, not a curated record
GCCUCACAGAAAGAGCCACCACUGCCACUCGGUACCUGUUGACCCUGGACAGUCAUUCUAGCUUCUGUUUCCUCCUCGGACACCUAAGAACGAUUACCCUUUCUUCACAAGGCGGUUCGAAGCACUGGAUAAAAAGUGUUUGUGAAAGGAUUAUGAACAGGUGGCUAACCUUGAAGAAUGAGACGGUAUUAAGUACUGACUAAUACAGGGCCAUGGGUACUACCAUCCACUACUGGUAAGGGUAGAAGACUGGAGGGGAAUCCAGCACAUGUGGGCUGAACACGUGCAUGUGGCCAGCUAUUCCUGUUCUAGAGUCUGCCUGGUGAGACACUCAAGAGUAAGCUGACGGAAACAGGAACCAAGGUGGUUACUGCCGAGCUGUUGGUGAGAGUAGAUACUUGGAGCCAACCUGAAGAUCUACCAGCAACGAAGCUGAGAGCCCAAGAAAAAGAUUAUGCAAGAAGUCAACUGAAGAAGCCAGGUGCACCCCCACUGAAGAUGUUCGUGUACGGGCACACAUCAAGGUUGACAGAUCCCAAACAUGUUAUCAAGUUACAAGAACUAGUGGCAGUGUCCCCACACUGCCUGGUCAUCAUUCAAUGGCUGGAUCUGUGAAUGGAUGGAAGAGUGAAUGAAUGAAACAAAGUGACCCCAUUCUACGUGGAGAACGUUUGUGGACAGAUUUCCACAUAUUCUCUGGGACUUCAGGCAACCUGAUUUUUCUGCUAGUGAGUCUCCUUGUAUAUGAAGUUGGAAUGCCAGUACCUUCUGAAGACUGGAGCUUCUGAAGACUCUCAUAAUGAGGACUCAUUUUGCUUAUGAUCAUCUGUUCCCUGAGUCAGCAAACCACCACCUGAGGGCCAAUUCCUGCCAGGGUACAAGUCUUUGUAUUUCCGUC